AUACGUAGGGGGCGAGCGUUGUCCGGAAUGAUUGGGCGUAAAGGGCGCGUAGGCGGCCUGUUAAGUCUGGAGUGAAAGUCCUGUUUUCAAGAUGGGAAUUGCUUUGGAUACUGAUGGGCUUGAGUGCAGGAGAGGUUAUCGGAAUUCCCGGUGUAGCGGUGAAAUGCGUAGAGAUCGGGAGGAACACCAGUGGCGAAGGCGGGUAACUGGACAGUAACUGACGCUGAGGCGCGAAAGCACGGGGAGCAAACAGGAUUAGAUACCCUGGUAGUCCGUGCCGUAAACGAUGAAUACUAGGUGUAGGGGGUAUCGACUCCCUCUGUGCCGCAGUUAACACAUUAAGUAUUCCACCUGGGGAGUACGGCCGCAAGGUUGAAACUCAAAUGAAUUGACGGGG
RNAcentral lists this ribosomal RNA (397 nucleotides) under uncultured bacterium. Its description in RNAcentral is "partial 16S ribosomal RNA". It matches the Rfam family "Bacterial small subunit ribosomal RNA", at positions 523 to 918 of the family's 1533-position model. The record is from RNAcentral.